UGGGGGGUAGAGAAACGGCAAUCUCACUGGCCUCAUCAAGCCGGAGACACCUGGUUCGACUCCAGGCCCCCUUACCA
Molecule: transfer RNA, 77 nt
Filed under: marine sediment metagenome
Description: tRNA-OTHER
Source: RNAcentral